Molecule: signal recognition particle RNA, 303 nt
Filed under: Oryza brachyantha (malo sina)
Lineage: Eukaryota; Viridiplantae; Streptophyta; Magnoliopsida; Poales; Poaceae
Description: Plant signal recognition particle RNA
Rfam family: Plant signal recognition particle RNA
Source: Rfam by way of RNAcentral
GCCGAGCUCAGUCGCGGGAGCUUGUGACCCAAGUGGGGGCAACACGAGUGGUACCGGAUGUUCGGUGCGGAAACUGGGCCUAGGCCCAUGUGUGCAAUCGUGUUGGCCCUGCCCGUUCCAAGUUGCGUAGCUGGGCGGAGGGGCUUUGGCGAAGGCCCAUGGGCUUCUCCGGCCCUAGAGCGUCAGGCUGGCUUCACAGAGCAGCGAUCACUGCCCACUUCCAGCGGGUGGAAGGAUUACAGGCCGCUGCGCCAUGGGCCCGCUUCUGGCCCGGGGUUCCCUCUGUAACAGACCACCACUUUU